GCGGUAUCCAAUAUCUAAGAGUCUGAAUUGGAAGAGCUUAAUGACAAAAUCAUAUGUAUCUUAUACAUACCUUUUGGUGCGAAGCUUGCACCAGCUUUUACAGUUGCAAGAUAUAACUUGCAAUUCCUUUUCCAGUCUUUUGCCUUACCACAGUGAAAGUACGUACCCUGUUUGGAGACUUUCUUCCCCUUUUUCUUCAUCUUGCCACCCUUAGGGUUUAGUGCUUUCUUUUAACCCUUAAAGCUUGACUUCUUCUUAGAGAUUUUACCCACA
This 273-nucleotide long non-coding RNA is filed under the name Elaeis guineensis (African oil palm). RNAcentral's name for it is "long non-coding RNA (EGUI_LNC076378)". Lineage: Eukaryota; Viridiplantae; Streptophyta; Magnoliopsida; Arecales; Arecaceae. The record is from RNAcentral.